UACGGAGGAUCCAAGCGUUAUCCGGAUUUAUUGGGUUUAAAGGGUGCGUAGGUGGCCUGUUAAGUCAGGGGUGAAAGACGGUAGCUUAACUAUCGCAGUGCCUUUGAUACUGACGGGCUUGAAUACACUAGAGGUAGGCGGAAUGUGACAAGUAGCGGUGAAAUGCAUAGAUAUGUCACAGAACACCAAUUGCGAAGGCAGCUUACUAUGGUGUUAUUGACACUGAGGCACGAAAGCGUGGGGAU
RNAcentral lists this ribosomal RNA (245 nucleotides) under uncultured Mucilaginibacter sp. RNAcentral's name for it is "partial 16S ribosomal RNA". It matches the Rfam family "Bacterial small subunit ribosomal RNA", at positions 524 to 768 of the family's 1533-position model. The record is from RNAcentral. Lineage: Bacteria; Pseudomonadati; Bacteroidota; Sphingobacteriia; Sphingobacteriales; Sphingobacteriaceae.